RNAcentral lists this ribosomal RNA (511 nucleotides) under uncultured Acidobacteriota bacterium. RNAcentral describes it as "bacterial SSU rRNA". It matches the Rfam family "Bacterial small subunit ribosomal RNA", at positions 39 to 529 of the family's 1533-position model. Lineage: Bacteria; Pseudomonadati; Acidobacteriota. The record is from RNAcentral.
GCGGCGUGCUUAACACAUGCAAGUCGAACGAGACUGUGGGGGCAACUCUGCAGUUUAGUGGCGGACGGGUGAGUAACACGUGGGUAACCUGCCCGGAAGUGGGGAAUACCUCGGGGAAACUCGAGCUAAUACCGCAUGACAUCUUUGGGACGAGAGUCCUGACGAUCAAAGCGGGGUCGCAAGACCUCGCGCUACCGGAUGGGCCCGCGCCCGAUUAGCUAGUUGGCGAGGUAAUGGCUCACCAAGGCUUCGAUCGGUAACCGGCCUGAGAGGGCGAUCGGUCACACCGGAACUGAGACACGGUCCGGACUCCUACGGGAGGCAGCAGUGGGGAAUCUUGCGCAAUGGGCGAAAGCCUGACGCAGCAACGCCGCGUGGAGGAUGAAGGCCCUUGGGUUGUAAACUCCUGUCGGUUGGGAAGAAAUCGUUCGGGGUUAAUACCCCCGGACGUUGACUGUACCAGCAAAGGAAGCCCCGGCUAACUCUGUGCCAGCAGCCGCGGUAAUACAGA